Molecule: ribosomal RNA, 426 nt
Filed under: uncultured bacterium
Lineage: Bacteria
Description: bacterial SSU rRNA
Rfam family: Bacterial small subunit ribosomal RNA
Source: RNAcentral
UGGGGAAUUUGGACAAUGGGCGCAAGCCUGAUCCAGCCAUGCCGCGUGCGGGAAGAAGGCCUUCGGGUUGUAAACCGCUUUUGUCAGGGAAGAAAUCCUUUGAGCUAAUACCUCGGGGGGAUGACGGUACCUGAAGAAUAAGCACCGGCUAACUACGUGCCAGCAGCCGCGGUAAUACGUAGGGUGCAAGCGUUAAUCGGAAUUACUGGGCGUAAAGCGUGCGCAGGCGGUUAUGCAGGACAGAGGUGAAAUCCCCGGGCUCAACCUGGGAACUGCCUUUGUGACUGCAUAGCUAGAGUACGGUAGAGGGGGAUGGAAUUCCGCGUGUAGCAGUGAAAUGCGUAGAUAUGCGGAGGAACACCGAUGGCGAAGGCAAUCCCCUGGGCCUGCACUGACGCUCAUGCACGAAAGCGUGGGGAGCAAACA